Molecule: ribosomal RNA, 253 nt
Filed under: uncultured bacterium
Lineage: Bacteria
Description: partial 16S ribosomal RNA
Rfam family: Bacterial small subunit ribosomal RNA
Source: RNAcentral
UACGUAGGGUGCGAGCGUUAAUCGGAAUUACUGGGCGUAAAGCGCACGUAGGCGGCUUUGCAAGUUAGAGGUGAAAGCCCGGGGCUCAACUCCGGAAUUGCCUUUAAAACUGCAUCGCUAGAAUUGUGGAGAGGUAAGUGGAAUGCCGAGUGUAGAGGUGAAAUUCGUAGAUAUUCGGAAGAACACCAGUGGCGAAGGCGACUUACUGGACACAUAUUGACGCUGAGGUGCGAAAGCGUGGGGAGCAAACAGG